AGUCUAUAGUUCUAUAGAAUCUUGGAAUGUGGAUCCAAAGGCUAAGACUC
This 50-nucleotide transfer RNA is filed under the name Xiphinema rivesi. RNAcentral describes it as "tRNA-His". The record is from RNAcentral. Lineage: Eukaryota; Metazoa; Nematoda; Enoplea; Dorylaimida; Longidoridae.